Molecule: ribosomal RNA, 515 nt
Filed under: uncultured bacterium
Lineage: Bacteria
Description: bacterial SSU rRNA
Rfam family: Bacterial small subunit ribosomal RNA
Source: RNAcentral
GACGGGUGAGUAACGCGUGAGGAACCUGCCUUUCAGAGGGGGACAACAGUUGGAAACGACUGCUAAUACCGCAUGACACAUAGGUGUCGCAUGGCACUUAUGUCAAAGAUUUAUCGCUGAAAGAUGGCCUCGCGUCUGAUUAGCUAGUUGGUGAGGUAACGGCCCACCAAGGCGACGAUCAGUAGCCGGACUGAGAGGUUGAACGGCCACAUUGGGACUGAGAUGCGGCCCAGACUCCUACGGGAGGCAGCAGUGGGGAAUAUUGGGCAAUGGGCGCAAGCCUGACCCAGCAACGCCGCGUGAAGGAAGAAGGCUUUCGGGUUGUAAACUUCUUUUGUCAGGGACGAGUAGAAGACGGUACCUGACGAAUAAGCCACGGCUAACUACGUGCCAGCAGCCGCGGUAAUACGUAGGUGGCAAGCGUUGUCCGGAUUUACUGGGUGUAAAGGGCGUGUAGCCGGGAGGGCAAGUCAGAUGUGAAAUCCACGGGCUCAACUCGUGAACUGCAUUUGAAA